AUGUAUAAAUAUGAAUUUUGAGCAAAGGUCAAAAUCUAGAACGUCAAAUUUACUGAUGACCUUGACCUAUAUUUCAAGGUCAUAAACCAGGGACCCCAAAUAAAAAGACCCUAGGUCUGUAAUAUGUAUAGUUAAUGAGUUAUAUCACUUUACGUUUAAUUCUUAAUAUAGGAGGGGCAAAAACUCCCAUUUUAUGUCUACACACCCUUCUAACCAAAAUAUAUAAGUUACGACAUGUCGCAACUAACAAUUUAGUAAAAAUAAUUUGUCGGUAUCUUAUAAGGUUAAUGAAAAUUAGUGAAAAUAGGCCAAAAUCAAAAUUUAGAAUAUGACCUUGACCUUUGACCUUUACCUAAUUUUUAUUUUUUUGGACCAAUGAUCUCAAAACAAAAGACCCUAGGUCUCUAUCACUUAUGGUUUUCCAGUUUAAAAUACAUUUCAAAAUUUCAAAUACAAAAGGGGAACUAACUCUCAUAUGGAGUCUCUAUACGGCUUCGGUCAAAAUAAAACAGAACAUCCUGAGGAUGUAACGAGCAAUUUGGUAAAAUAAAUUUGUCGUAAUCUUUUAUGGUUGCGAAGGAGUAGUGGCCACAAGAAAAACAGUGUUUGGGGAGAUAACUCUUACAACGUAAAGUAUUUGGUUACGCAAUGGUCAGUUUUAAAAGUGCAUACGCUUUACGAUAUCAUAUUCCAAAUAUCUAAGCGACAUCUUUUGAAACAUCAAUGCUACGCAAGAAAAGAAUUAGGCGGAAGAAUAAUAAAAAAAAAUAAUAAUAAUAAUCAGAAGAAAUCCAAUAGGUCUUUCCACGGAAAGGUGGAAAGACCUAAUAAAUUCUUUAUUUAAAGAGGGUAACUCAAUUAGAACUAGUCUUAUUUUCAUUGAGGCCCUCAAACAAAAAACAUUCAUACAUUUUCGAUCACGUUGUGUCCUGCUCUUUUUUGAAAUUAAUUUUAAAUGUAGUAGACAGAGAACUCUUAAAUGGUGUUCCAUAUAAAGUGUUCUCAAAUUGAUGGUACAUGAAAUGAAAAGUUGAAGAUAGAAAAAUUCAAGUCUUUUCGCUAGUUCUGGUAUCAAAUUAUAGACGUGAGUCAAGACGCGAAACAAUGCCUUUUUUCUCGAUACAUAUUUCGAUCAACAUUCAUCGUAAGUUAUUAUGGAACGUUCAUAAUUUUAGAAAUUUAAACUCCUGAGAGAUGUGUUACUAAUCUACAUUAUAUCUGUGACAUUCUUUAUUCUAAGUUCAUUUUGAUGCGUCCCACCAACCUUUUUGUAUAUUAAAUUCAAUUAAGAAAUAUAUGUAUACUUGUCAUUAAAUAAAGUUAAAAUCUAUCAUGCAGAACUAAUUUUAUUGAGUAAUUAAAUUUUUCAAAUUCACUACAACAUGCAUGAGCUACAUACUGCCUUGCUUUACCAAAUCUAUCUUGCAGGGUAAAAAAUGUUUUAACACCAAUGUAUUAUACAAUGAACUAUUGGACCUCAAAUGCAUUGUGAUAAUUCAUCAAAGAAAGCAGGCUUAUUAAUUGUCCAAAUAUACCUAGUAUGUCUGUUUGGGUUCUUUAACAUUUUUUUGUCAAUAGAACGGAACUAUAAAAAAAUUUCACACAAGUUGGAGGUUAAACUAGCUAUAAAACCAGUUAUCCUCAUUGUUUCUUCGAAAAAUACCUGUACUAUCUCAAGAUUAUGGCAGUUGUUUUCCACUUGUUGACAGCGUUUUAUUUUUGAUUUUGUUUUUUAAUUUUCCAGGGAGUUUUUGUACACCAGACGUUGGGUCUGCAUUAUACUCAUCAUAAAACAUUUGUAUACUUUUCAUUGAAUAAAGUAAAAGUCUAUCAUGCAAAACAUUUAUUUAUAUAAAUUUUUAAGAAGCACCACAAUUUGCAUGAGCUAUAUACUGCCUUGCUUAACCUAAUGUACCUUGCAGGGUAAAAAAUGUUCUAAAACCAAUGUAUUAUACAAUGGACCAUUGGACCUCAGAUGCUUGUGAAAAUUUAUCAAAGAUAGCAGAAUUAUAAACUGGCCACAUUAAAUAAAGGCAACAGUAGUAUACCACUGUUCAAAACUCAUAAAUCUAUGGACAAAAAAUACAAAUCGGGGUAACAAACUAAAACUGAGGGAAACGCAUUAAAUAUUAGAGGAGAACAACGACACAACAUUAAAAUGUAACACACACAGCAACGGACUAAGCAUUAGACAACAUCCGAUGAGAAUAACCAAUAUAACAUCAAAACCAAAUACAUGAAUUUGGGAUAGAAAAGUACCGUGACACGUCUUAUAGUAAUGUGAAUUCACACAUUAAACUAUCAUAUCUGUUUGGGUUACUCAAAUUUGUCAAUAUAACGGAACUAUAAAAAAAACUUUCACACAUGUGGGAGUUUAAACUAGCUAUGCAACCAGUUUAACCCCAUCAUUUCUUUGGAAAAUACUUGUACCACCUCAGGAUUAUGACAGUUGUUUUCAAAUUGUUCUGUUGAUUUACAGCGUUGAAAUUCUGAUUUUGUUUUUAAUUUGCUUGGGAGUUGAGUAUGUUUGUUAUACUUUUUUGUAGACACACGAGUGUCCUCUACAUUAGACUCAUCAUAACACAUUUGUGAACACUGCCUGUCUUAUUAACUCAAGUUUAUAUUAUUAUAGUUGUUCUGUUUGAUCUGUUUUUCGAUUUAAAAGAAGCUAAAGAAGACACUGCAAAAAGGAAUGUGUCAAUUUGUGUUUUGCUACUUUUUAUUUUCUUCCUUCACCGCAUAGAUGCGUAUUAUCAGGUGUUGUAAAGAUAACCAAUUUCUAUGCUAUUCCCUGGGAGACAAACGGAUUUGAUGAUAAUUGGAAAAUUAUCAGUAAGGAAGUAUGCUUAAUAAUCUUGAACAUAGCUAUAAUAUCAAUUGAAUAUCAUCCUUUUUAUUGACUUGUCAGCACAGUUUAUCUGCUUUUAUUAAAGUUAUUAAAGAGGAUAUGGUUUAAUGGUUUUAUCAAUUUUCUGUCGAAUAAAAUGCAUCGAAGGUUACAUAAUAGAGCAACGGAAAGCCUUGAAUUCCUAUCUAUUUUUGACUUCUUUAUUUAUAUGGAUAAAGCUUUAUGAAUAAUUGAAGAUAACUAAGAAGCUAACAAGGAUGUAAUAUAAGCUGAAUACUUCAGGAGUCACAAGAAAAGAUACAAUAAUAAUCUACUGAAAAAGACCCCAAAAAAAUAACAAUUAAUAUAAAAAAAAAAAAAAUUAAGGAAGAUUAAAGUGGUAGGCAAAUGUUUUAAAAUAAAACAACAAAAGUUACUAAAGGUAAGUAUUGCAUUUAUGGAGUAAAACAAUGAAUCAAAAGAAACAAAAAAAUCUCUGUACGGCUAUAUUAUCUUAUUUGAACUAUUUCGGACAAUCUGUUUUACAGUUGUGACAAAAAAGAGAAAGCAAUCAAAAGCAAAGUGUUGACUAUGAUAGUUAUCAAAGGUACCAGUAUUAUAAUUUAAUACGCUAGACGCGCGGUUCGUCUGCAUAAGACUCAUCAGAGACGCUCAGAUCUAAAUUGUUAUUAAGUCAAACAAGUACAAAAUUGUAGAGCAUUGAGUACCCACAAGUCCUAAAAGUUGUGCCAGAAAAUCCUAGUAUAACAUAACCCUGUUAAAAAAAAUGCAUAUAAAAAGGAAGAUUGGUCAACAGUAAUCUCACCAAAAAGACAAGAUUUGACUCAUCUGCUCAGGAAGAGACAGCAGUUUUUGCUCCACUUUUUACAAUCUUGAGUUUAUACAACCUUAUAUAUUAAUUCAGCGAGCUACAAUAGAUGACAGUAAUAUAAUCAGCACAGAAUUAUGAAAAUAAGGCUUGUUUGAUAUACUGCUUUCAUUAGGUCUUCAUAGUUUUGGUGAUUACCUGUUCUAUAUUUACGAUUUGCUUUUUUUUGUUUUAAUACCACACACGUCAAUCAAAGAUUUAUUGCUAACCUUUGAAAGAAAAGGUUAUAUGUUCAAAUUAAUAAAUGAAGCACUGAUUCAUUACAAGAUUUCAUAAUGUAAAAUAAUAUGGUGAAAAAAUCUUCGGACAAUAUCCAGUGCUCAGUAAUGCAAUUCUUGGAGAAAAAUCAUGGAACAAAGUAACACAUUUUUUUGCCUUUUAUCCUUAAUUUUAUUUGUAUUAUUUUCUGCAUGUUUAGUUGCCUAAUGUCUUUUUGUACUUAAACCAGAUUUACAGACAAUUUACCUUUGGUGCUUAAUACAAGGAAAGUCAAUCAUGAAAACACUGCUACAUCCAAGAGAAAUCUUACAAUGAAAAUGUCAAAUGUAUAUAGGAAUGCUUUAAGUGAAAUAAAUACCCACCAACCCCCUCGAAAAAUACAGUAGAAAAGAAAGUGACAAUCCCUCAGUAAAAAAUAAAAACAGAGAAAAAGACAAACAACAGCUACACAACCAUAUAUAGAAAAACAGAACAAUAAAGACUGAGCACACACAAACAUAACAAAGAAACCGGAUGUGAUUUCAAUCCAUAUGUAGAUCCUGUUAAACAUAUUUAACUCACUGUCGUGUUGCUCGUAGUGAGUACACAUUUGAAUAUGCCCAAAAUCGAGGAAAAAAUAACAUGGGGCUGUGUUUUUGACCAUUCGAACAUAUCGUGGUUAUGACCAUCCGAAUACAUUGUGGUUUCGACAUUUGGAAAAUACCCGUGGUCAUAUGGGAAACAGUUAUUCAUUAUCAAUCAACUAAUUCGCGAAACACUUCCGAAGGGAUGAUUUCAAUUUUAUCUCUUGGAACCUUAAACACAGCAUCAACAAUUAUAAACAAAGUUGUUGUUUUGAAUUGUAUUAGGACAGACACAACUGGUGUGCAGGAAUUAAAGUACUUUAAAGGGUCCAAAUAUAUAGUAUUGCUAAUGAUACAAAUUAAAAAAUGUUAUACGUUAACCUGGUUUUGUAAUAGAUUGAGUCAAUAUUUAGAUUAAAAUCAUAGACUCAUUUCUACCACGUUAAAAAUAAAUUAUUUUAGGUCUGAUGUUUCCACUAUUUAAAUUGAAUACAUGUCAACAUAUUUUCAAAGUAGAAAAACAAGAAAUAAAUGAAAACGUCCGUUCAAAUCAUUAACAUGUGUUCCAAAUUACCAUGUCAAUACAUACUUCUAUAAUUAUUACACGAGAUUUACAAGAUAAAAUACUCACUAUUGAACAUUCUAUAAUUUAUAUUCAGGUUUUUUUCCAGAAUAUUACAACUAUGACUGAAACACUCGCUCUCGUUUUUUUCUUACAGUAAAUCAUGAAUAAGAAGAUAUGGGAAACGGAGAGUUAUUUUGGAUUUUGAUAAUUAUAUUCCUUAGAGAAGGUAAGCAUAUGUUUAAGCCAAAAUUUCAGUUUUCAUAUAUCUUUAUGAUAUAUAUGUAUGCCUCUGUCAUCAAGAAGACGAAUCGAAAGCGAUUUCCAUCGGUUGUCCAGUUAAAGAUAUAAGAAGAUGUGGUAUGGGUGCCAAUGAUACAACUCUAGUGAUAAUUUGUAAAAGUAACUAUUAUAGGUCAAAGUGCGGUCUUCAACCAAAUAGUUAUCAAAGGUACCCGGAUUAUAAUUUAGUACGCCAGACGCGCGUUUCGUCUACAUAAGACUCACCAGUGACGCUCAUAUCAAAAUAUUUAUCAAGCCAAACAAGUACAAAGUUGAAGAGCAUUGAGGAUCCAAAAUUCCAAAAGGUUGUGUUAAAUAUGGCUAAGGUAAUCUAUGUCUGGGAUAAGAAAAUCCUUAGUUUUUCGAAAAAUUCAAAAGUUUUGUAAACAGGAAAUUUAUAAAAAUGGCCACAUUAUUGAUAUUCAUGUCAACACCGAAGUGUUGACUACUGGGCUGGUGAUACCCUCGGGGACGAAACGUCCACCAGCAGUGGCAUCGACCCAGUGGUGCAAAGGUACCAGGAUUAUAAUUUAGUACGCCAGACGCGCGUUUCGUCUACAUAAGACUCGUCAGUGACGUUCAUAUCAAAAUAUUUAUCAAGCCAAACAAGUACAAAGUUGAAGCUUUGACCCACACCGAACAGCAAGCUAUAAAGGGCCCAAACAACGACAAGUGUAAAACCAUUCAAACAGGAAAACCAAAAAAUAUAUAUAAAAAAACCACGAGGAACGAGAAACACUUAUGAACCACAACAACAAACGACAACCACUGAAGAUCCCCCGAACAUCAUACGGUAUGCCUGUAUGUAUUGAACUGUUAAUCUAUUCAAUAGUAUAUGAAGUGUUUUACAUAUUGGUUGUGUUUUGUUCAUGAUCAAAUGAAUUACUCGAGAAAUAACGUCCUUGGGACAUGAAAAAAUGUUUUUAUUAUUUCUCAUUAUUCUCGAAGAUUUUGAUCUGAUUUUUUAGUUCUUCAAUGAAUAUUGCUGCCUUUUAUAAUCGAGUUCACGUUACCUUCCUUGAUGAUUCACAUGUUUGUAUAUUUCAAAGGAUUACACCCUAAUCAUACGUGUCGUUCGUAUACCCCUCGUUUUGACUUAUUUUUUUCAACACUUACACAUGUGAUAUUGUAUGUUAACUUUCCAUGGACACUCCACAAACUUGAAAGAGAGAUAAAGUUUUUCAUCUACAUCGUACCAUUGAAAGGCAAAACAUGGUUUCAUUCACUAUAUUGUUGUGGCAGUGAUAAUUUGCUUGCAAAAGGCAAAUUCUGAAUUCAAUACCAUUUUGCAGAAAUCUCUUUCACUAACCUUCGACAACAUCAUAUUCCAACUUUACCAUUAAGGACAAAUAAAGACUUCGCUUUUAUCACAGUGACUGCGCUACAACCAGAACAAAUCAAUGGUGUUUAUAGACGAGAGAACCAUAUAUGUUAAUAAAUAAAUAAAACAAAGUUCGACCACAAAGACAAAGAAGGUCUUUUUUAGUCUGAUAUUGAAGGACUAUGAUUUAGUUCCGACCUUAUUACUUUUAAGCAUCUCAUAUGUUAUCAUAAAUUGAAUAUAUCUGUCGAUAAAUGUGAUUUAUGUGCUGUUUCAACAGCAGUCCGAAUUAAUGUAUUAUAAAAUAACUAUCGUAUUAUCUUAGUAUAAAUGAUGAGUUUGUUUGCCCCUCUGAAGUGAUUUUUUGUUAUACAUAUGCUAUUUUUAAGAUCAUAACUAUAAUUUGUAUCAUGGAAUAAGAUAAUCUUUGAAAUAAUAGCAAAUAAUCAACAGAGGAUUUGCUGGUUUUAUUUUAAAGAUUUUUAAUAUUCUUACUACUAGUGUAAAUAUGUGAAACUCUACUUUAAAAAAUACUUUCUAGAUUUUUCAGGUUGCUUUUUAACAUAUUUUUCUGCUAAAGCUUGUAUAUUUUUCUUUGUCUUGUGAGUAACGUAGAAAUGUAACAACGAUGUAGUUUUGAAAAAUCAUUGAAACAAAUCCAAUAGCCAUGGUAUGAUACAAAAGAACCUUUUCCUUAUUUGACGUUUGACUGAAUACCAGUCUUUUACUCUGUUUUAAUGUCGUCUGCCGCCUUUGUAUUGUCUAGAAUGGGAGCGCUUUUAUACGACAUCUUCCCAUUAACUGAUUAGUUUUGAAUGAUAAUUCAUCCUUUUUUCGCAAUAAAUGUUCCGACAGUUUGACCAAAACAUUAUAGACAAGCUGUAAAUCAUUAUGUUUAUAAACAUCGUUAACUAAGGUUUUCCUAUCGACGUACUAGUCAGUAUUUGUCUUUGGAUGUAUCUGGAAAGAGUACUCCUUAAUUAACACACAAUGUUGUUACAUGUAUGAUAUGCUAUACACUGUAAUUGAACUGGAUGACGUUAAAUCUGGUUGUCAUAGUUUCUACUUUUCUUCGAAUUUGGAAGAGGGUCUUUUUACUUUUUCGGAGACCCUAGGAUCACUCCCUGUUUUUGGUGAGGUUCGUUUUACUCAGUAUAUUUUCUAUGUCGUGUUUAGUGGCAUUGUUAAUUUGUGUUCGACUUAUAUGUUUGAAUGGUACUUUUCACCUAUCCCAAAGGUUCUAAUUUCCAUAGUAUUCUUUAAAACCCUAGAAGAAACCGAAAACCUAUGUAUUUGUUUAAUGAAUUAGAUUGAACUAUCAAACAAUAAAAAAGAAAAGAUACAUGGUUUAUAUUGAAUACAUGUACAACAUGUCGGUCUUUUGUAUUUCACUCACUGAAGAGUACAAUUUAUAAAGUAACGUUAAGGUUUCACAUGUUUUUUUUCAGUAGCUUGUAAUCGAAUUAAAAACCUAUCAAUUUAAUUACACCUUACACAAUCUUGUAAUGACCAUAUAACUAGAACAAGAAAAACAACACCGGGUUGUUGUAUGAACUCUGUAUUUUGAGAACAGAAACGAGGCAACGUCAUAUUUUAUAAACCAUUUUAUUUUUAAGUUAGUGUAUUAUGCUUGGGAUCUGAUAUUUAAAUAUAACCCACACAUUGUGUCAUAAUGACAAAAUUAUUUUUAUAUUUCUUCCUAUGGGACGUUUAUAUUUUCUGACGUCAUAUAUGCGAAACAAUGAAUGUAGUUUUUAAAAUUUGGUAGAUGCAUUUUGUGCUUUUUUGUUAAAUAUUUUGUUUGGUUUGAGAUUGUGACAUAAUGAUGACUACUAUACCCAUAUUGAGACUAUUCUUCUAUUAUGUCUGUUUUGUUCACACAUCGUUGUAAAUAUAAUUGACUGUGAUGCGACUGUCAUACACGUGAGAGGUUUAGAGCUAUAAAACCAGGUUCAAUCCACCAUUUUCUACAUUUGAAAAUACCUGUACCAAGUCAGGAAUAUGACAUUUGUUGUCCAUUCGUUUGAUGUGUUUUAUCAUUUGAUUUUGCCAUUUGAUUAGGGACUUUCCGUUUUAAAUUUUCUUCGGAGUUCAGAAGUAUUGGGAUUUUAUUUUUACCAUGUAGACAGAAGCAUCUAUCUAUACUAUUACAUGCUAUUGUGAAUUCGUUUUUUAAUCAAACUAAAAACUGUAUAACAUAAAUUGGCUUCAAAUAAAUAUGUCACUACAGCCCCAAAUUCAUUGAUGUUUUAUCUGAUUUUAUUUAAAAUUACCAAUAGCCUCAUAUAUUUUCAAAGGUUUCUUUGUUUGACUAGACAAUUUCCGGCAUUCCUUAUAUUUCGAACUAGUAAAUACAAUCUAAAUAUGUAAAAAGUAAAAUAAAAAAAAUACUGAAUUCUGAGGAAAAUUCAAAAAGGAAAGUCCCUAAUCAAAUGGCAAAACAAAAAACUCCAACACACCAAACGAAUGGAUAUCAACUGUCAUAUUCCUGACUUUGUACAGGCAUUCGUGUGCAAAAAUAAGGUUAGUAGGUUUCCUAACUGUGAAUGGUAUUUCACAACGGUAAAUGAUUUGAUUAACGAUCAAACCAUUUAAAUUCCUGUUACCUAAAUAUCAAAGUAUACUAUACAUACUGUAGAAAAAGCAUAAGGGGUACGCGUACUACAGUUAAGAACACAAGUUGUAUGAGUCAAGAACUUCCUGUAGUUAUACCGUUCAACAUUUCUGCUGUUCAGUAUUUCUCCAAACAUUUCAUUGUUAUUUUUACAAUGUAUCUAUAAAAAACAAUAAUUGUAUAUAUUCUUGCGACGACACCAAAAAAGAGACAAUCGAAUACUAUCAGGAAAAAACGUCCAAGAUAAAACACUUGCACCCGUUUAAAAUAAAAUUCAUCAAUAAACUCAAGCUAUGAUUACUUUCUUUUAAAGGGAGAUUUAAACAUUAGUAUGGGUUACGGUACCCCUGAAAUUUAUUUAAUCAAUUUUACACCAGCUAUUAUUAUUAACUGAAACUCUGUAAUUCAAAGUAAGCUCUGCUCUAAAAGAAAGUUUUGAAUUUUUUUCUCCCAAAUUUCUGCGUGUUGGAAAGCAAGUUUAAAAAAAUUAAUUGCGUUUCAUACUUUGGCAUUAGCUGCAAAGAAGAUUAAAUGCUGAGAAUUAACGUACAACAGAUCAGGUAAUUUUUGCAUAAAGAUAAAUUGAUAUGCAAUUUUAAACAGAAAGAAUAUUAAAAUAUUUUGAAAAUACGCAUACAGUAUAGAUUUCAUUAGUAUUUAUGAUGAUUCGAUCUAAAACUUUGCAAACUACAAUUAAUUAAAUGUUGACAUAAUGUAAAUCAUCACAGGUUUUGGUCUAAAAUCAGUUUGUGUGAGUAUCCUAUUCGACUUUUUCAGAAAUAAUCAUCAACGUGCUAUGAUUAUGACGUAAUUUCGGCAUGCGAUGUUGGUGGCGUUACGUACAGAUAAACUAUAAAUAAUAGAUUAUAGUAACGCCACGGUAUAUAGGAAUUAUCACUUAAUCGACAAUUAUAUAUAGUCCAAAAUCACAUAAAGGGUUGAUCAGGGUAUUUAAUAAUUCAUAAUGAAAUAGUGCCACAAUCUCCCAGUGUAUGUAAAAGCACUCUAGCACCAUCUCUUUUUGAUCUGUAUGUAUUGUGGAUUUGAAAACAAAAGUGAGACAAUUCUUCUAAGAAACCGAUCGUGCUUUAUAAAAGAAAUUUUACAAAUGAGGCUGUUAUAUAUAUAAAAAGAAGAGACCAAAAUGACACAGAAAUUAACAACUAUAGGUCACCGUACGGCCAUCAACAAUGAGCAAAGCCCAUACCGCAUAGUCAGCUAUAAAAGUCUCCGAAAUGACAUUGCAAAACAAUUCAGACGAGAAAACUAACGGCCUUAUUUUCAUAACAAAAUUAACGAAAAACAAAUAUGUAACGCAUAAACAAACGACAAUCACUGAAUUACAGGCUCCUGACUUGGGACAGGCACAUACAUACAUAAUGUGGCGGGGUUAAACAUGUUAGAGGAACCCCAAUCCUCCCCUAACCUGGGACAGUGGUAUAACAGUACACCAUAAGGAUCCAUAAGAACGAACUAUAAAAAUCAGUUGAAAAAGGCUUACUCAGCAGGUGGACAAAAAUACAAGUGGACGUGGCCGGGUACUUGUACAUCCAAAUAACAAAAAGAUACUAGGAACAGAUCUGAGAGUACUCGCAGUUAACUGACAGCUAGUUCAAAGCCAUAACAACUAUAUGAAAAAAAAAAUCAUGCAUCUAAGACUAAAUUAUCAAUUGUAGAUCGAUGAAUGUAUAUAUGUAUAUAGCAUACUAGUAAUAUUUAGUUGGCUUUUAAUUUACUGAUAACAAAAUCAAUAUUUAUACCAAUAAAAACAAUAUUCAAUGAUCUUAUUACAGUGUUGAAUUGGUAGCCUUUUAGAAUAAGUUUAUUUAAAGGAGCGAUAAGUUUACAAUGAUCAUUUCUAAAUUUUUCAGGCCCUGUAAACAACAUAUCCGUAAAAAUGAGGAUGUGCUUUCUCGUUAAUAAGUUUUCUACAGGUACAACCAAACUUCAAAACCAAAUCUUUAUAUCUUAGAAAAAUUUAGUAAAGGUUUGAAGUAAUUUAUGGUAACGAUAUCCCUGGUUUAAUAAUUUACCAGUAAUACAUAGAUUACGUUCGUUAAAAUCAAAAACGACAAAAUAGACCCGGACAUAGCGAACGAGCUGUGAAAUGUAAACUCCGUAAGAUGGUGUCAAAGGAACAUCACCAUCUAAAAAGGGAAAUUAAUAAUAGAAAACGAAAAAUCGUCUAUUUUGUCGUAAAUUUUAGUGUGGAGUUUCCCGUUAAAAACCGAAAUAUCUAAAUCUAGGAACAGACAGUUAUUACCGUUUAAGGAGGCUCGAGGGUAUAAAAAUUUCAGAAAAAAAAGUAAACAUUUGUUUUUCAUUUCAAAUUUUAUUUGUUACCUUUUGUAGUUGUUACUUAUAUGGUACAAAAAUCAUUCAAAACAAACAACUCUUGUUGGCCCCAGAUGACUUUUAAAAGGUAUACAUCAAUGAAAAAGUUCCAAAUUAUCUCCCUUUGGUGGAAAAAUGCCAUUUUUUGGCUUGAAAAUUGAAAUAUCUUUUUUAACUCAUCGGUGACCUAUAUUUUUUAAUAUAAUUUCCAUAUAAGCUGUACUUAAACUAAAUUAUUGUAAAAUUUGAGCGAUUUCUGUAAUAAAUUUCUUUCUUUUUUUUCGAUAUUACCUUUAAUUCUAUUACUUCAACAGAAAAAAAAAAACCACUUUUUCAAAAAUGUAUGCUUCUUUCGAAGGCAGAUUGUGAGCGCAAAUGAACGGUGACCCCACUUUUUUAUUUUAUUUUUCUAUUAACUAUAAAAUAAAGUUCAUUUAUAGAAAAAUAUAGAGAAAUCUUAUAUAAAUGAUUUAGACCCGCGAACCUCCUUAAAUUUGAUUUAUUUAAAGUAAGUUCCUUGGGGUAAGUUUCUGCAGUAUAUUGAGAAAAUUCUUGAUUAUUUAACGAAAAAAUAUCAUCAAGAUAACGUAAGUGUUGUUGAAUUUAUCAAUUAAAUGCAAUUUCGACGGGUCUCUACUGAGUUUAGUCAUAAACUGUGAUUCGUAACAGUACAAAAACAAGUCUGAUAUUAAAGGGGCGCAAUUAGUGCCCAUAGGGAUACCUAUAACCGAUCAAUAAACUUUGUUACCGAAAUGCACAUGAAAAUUAUCAAGGAGAAAAUUAAAGCUUCGAUCAUCUCAUCACACCUCCAGUAAGUAUAUCUAGCAUAUUUACCUGUCUCAUUAGAGAAGAAGGCUUUGAAUGAGUCGCAGCAAAUAUAUUUGCAUUCAGAUUUACCAAACGACCAUUUAAUUAAAUAGGAAAAACUUUAAAUUUGUUUAAUAAGAUAGUGUGGAAGUGUAGUGUAAUGAGUAGAAAAAUAAAAACUGUCAACAGAAUAAAAAGGACCAUCAAAAGCACGUAAUUUAUCUAAAACAUCCAAAGAUUUUUUUACAUUCCUAAAAUAGUUUAUUUCACUAUGUUCAUAUAUUUUCUUACAAUAGUUUAUGAUAAGCUCUUUAAUAGUAGUUAAUGAACUUGUUAAAAGCACUGAAAGAUUAGUUGUAGAACACUUACUAGAGGCUGGGAUGAAACGAUUUUUAAAUAACUUCAUGUAAUCUGUUUCAAUAUGGAGAGAACACAUACAAUCAGUAUGAAACCGCUCAAUAUAUAUACACUUUGCAAUAAAUCCAAGCUAUACCUGCACAUAUACAGAAAACAUAUUUGUGUUGACUUUAUAUUGAGGUUUGCUUACAAUUUGCAAACAAAUAUGUCUGCCGCUUCUGAAUGUGGUUUCUGUAUUCUUAAGCAAUUUAAAGAACAGUUUUUAAGAUGGGUGUUAACUUGGAUUCGCUCUGUGUUUAAAUUACAAAGUGGACGAUCAAAAUAAAGGUAAAAAAGUCCAAUAGAUUGAAAAGCACCACAGUAAAAUAAACUAGUUGAUGAACUUCUGUUCUUAUUGCACUAGUGAGAUCCGUGUGUUAAUGAUAAGCAAAAAUAAACUGAUAUUUAUGUCCUUUAUAAAGUAAUAAUCGAGAGAACGAUGACAGAAGUGCAAAACCUGGGAUCUCAUUUCAGCUAGGUGACAUAUAUUGUUGUUACCUAGAAAUAAAAAGUUUACAAUGGGAAUAUUGAAGUCAUCUCUUUUGUUGUAAAGUUAAAAUUUUGACCUAUAUUCACUAUCCAUUUCAAAAAAUAAGUCAAGAUAUGAGUUACACAUAGCUGUAUCUGUGAUAUCCUUUGUGAAUCUAAUUAAGUCCUUUUUCAUGCCGCGAAGUUUAGGGAUUUCCAAUAGUUAGGCAAAUUAAAACCCAAUGCUAUGAUUUAUUGCUGAUCAUAUUAUGCCAUUAUAGGAUGAACACAAAAGAAAAAAAUAAAUCAAAGCUCACACGUUCCACGGUUAAAUUAUUUUUGUGAGUACUAAAACCUCAAAAUUUUCACAGGCUGUCGGAUAACAUAAGCUACAAAGAUGAAACAGAAUAAAAUUACAGUCAAACAAUCAUGUUUAAUACAUAUUCAUGUGCAGGAGACGAAGCAGUGUACACGUAAAACUAGUGCUGGAUAAUACAGUAUAAUAAUUUACAUAUAGAUACUAAAAACUUGUUUUCAAGUAUUUAUUGCUGGCAGAAUAAUUACCCAUUCGUUGAUACUAAUAGACGCGAUUUAUUUUAUUUUUGUAACCUAUAUCUGAGGUUUUCCCUGUUUUUUUUGUUUGAAUCAUUAAUAAUUUAUAUAAAUGAACGUUUUUUACUGGUUUAUCAUAUAGCACACACGCAUACAGGACUGAGGUUUAUGUUCUUUUUCACAAACAUGUUCUUUUCUUUAUCGUGUAUUUUAUCAGAAUUGAAUCGUUUAACCUGUCUUUUACGAUAUUUAAUAUUUAUACAAAACAACAUAUUUUAUUGAUUCCAAGUAAACGAAAAACAAUGAUAACGACAACAUUUGUCCUUUAUUCAAAUCUAUAUACCAGUCAUGACAAUAUCACACCAGUCAUGACAAUAUCACACCAGUCAUGACAAUAUCACAUCAGUCAUGACAAUAUCACAUCAGUCAUGACAAUAUCACAUCAUACCUUUGGUAUGCGUAUUCAUUGCUCAACUCUGCUUUUGACAGUUUAAAUGCAUUCAUUUUGAAGUUCGGUAUUUUUACUAAAUAUUAUUUUUUCUACAUUUUUUUUCGAACGUUUUUUAUUGUUUUGAUUAAGAAGUCACUGUUCUGUUGUGCAAUAAAAUUCUGAUUACAUCCCUUAGACCAUUAGUCAGUAACAUCAUAUGCGAACAGUAAUUUCUACAAUUUUCCCUAAUAAAUCUUUUCCGACCACUUCAUUAAGGGCAAAAACUAUGUUGUUCAAUUAUAUGCAAAUGGUAACCUUCAUAUGAAGAAGAAGUUGCAUCUUUACUGAAAGGAUAAUAAAGAUUUAUAACAAUAUAAAUUACAAUUAAUGACGUAAAUACACACAAAGGUAUCCCAAAACGCAGUUAAUUUUGGUAUUUGUACUAAGAUUGACAACGAUGAAAAAGGACGUAGCUGUGUAUUUAUACGUCAUCAAAAACAUUAGAACAAACUCUCUUUUUUUUUUUAGCAAGAAUUGGAAAAGAUUGUUUAUUUACUUGUUUUAUUGGAAAAAGAAGUCAUUUGAUGUGGUUUAAAAAUGUAAAACACCAAAUUACCCUAUACAACUUGACAAAGAAUCAGUAAAAAUAGGUACGACCAUUUUCCCUUUAUUUUUCCUUAAUACCAGGACAAUUUUCAAUGAGUUUUAGAAUAUUCACUUUAAUUUAAUAGAAUGAAAGCCUAUCUUGCCUGUGUACUCUGUGAGUUGUGUUUUUCAAUUUUUACAACAUCAUGGUUUAACCAAGUUUCAAUGUCGAAAGAGACAUCAAAACCGGAAAAUUUCGUUUUGGAAUAUUACAUCCUUCAAUGCAAAAUAUUACAAAAGACAUGUAAAAUUAGCAAAUGGUAAAGAGGAAAAACACCGAACUUUAAGUAAAAUUCAAAACAUAAAGUCCAUAAUCCAAAGGCAAAAUCAAAAGCUAAAAUACUCCAAACGAAUGAAUAACAACUGAUAUAUUCCUGACCUGGUACUGCAGGGAUUUUCUAAUGUAGAAAAUGGUGGAUUAAAGAUGGUUUUAUAGCUAACUAAACCGAGAACUUGUAUGACUGUCGCAUACAUUGCCAGUAUAUUGACAACGAUGUAUGAACAAAACAAAAAGAUUCAUGUGAACAAUUUUGUAACCAACCAUAGCAACAUGUAGAGCUGAACUACGCUUUGAUUUUAUUGAAAUAUGUAAAAAUGCUUGUACAUUGUAAUAUAUAGAAUCUUUGCAAAAGUAUAUGACAACUUUUAUAUUUUGACCAGAAAUUUGAGCUUAAUCUUUGAUUGGACUUUGUUUGUAUUAUGCUGCUUUGAAAUUUUGUUUUGUGACUUAUUUGUGAUGUUUUUCUUUUUCUACAAUGGUUCUAUUUUGUUAUAUUAUUUCUCUUCGGUUAUCUUUCUUUAACGGCAAUUGUUUCAAAAAAUUAUAGGUUAUCUAGUUCUAAAUCUCAAUGUUUUUAUUACAAUCUAACGAGGAUUUAAUUGAGAUCGUUGAAUUUUGUCCACUACUCCGCUGUAUAUCCAUCCUAUUAGGAUUGUAAUACGUAGGAUUACGUUCAAUAACAAGAAAAGGAACUCAUACCUGAUCAGUACAGUUCAUCUACACUAUCUGAUGUAGUUUUUAUUUAUAGACGGUUUUAUUACUGGGAACACAGCUUGGCAGCUUAGAAAUGGAGACAAGUAUAAGUACAGAGUUUGUUCACUUUGAUUGUAAAUUUAUUGAUAUUGGUCAGAUUUCAGGAAAAAGUUGAACGUUUAAUGAAAUAUUCUAAACAUUUAUACCACAAAUAGAGCAACAUGAAUUGUGUAUCUUGUCGAUGCCCAUUCUCACUAAUGUUGAAGUUCCUAUGGUCUGUUUGAUCCUGGUCUUCAGAAUUGAGUUCCAAUGACUCCAGUUGUUAAAUGUUCUUCCGAACAGGCAUACUCACAUAAUUGUCAACCUGUUGGUUAUAUAAAGAGAAGAUAUAGAUAUCAAAAGGAUAUCCAAACUUAUGCGUCGAAAAUAUGCCGGCUAAAAAAAGAAGACCAAAGACUAACAAUACACAAAACUAAACACUGAGCAACACAAACCCCAUCAAAACCGGUGGUGGUCUCAGAUGCUGCUGAAGGGUAUGUAUAUCCUGCAUCACAUGUUGCAACCGUCGUGCUGCAAGUAUAAGUAUAAACCGGAUGACAAGUCUUAUUCGGUAGGUCACAUUCGGGGAAUAGAGGACAUGAUAUCCCUCGUCAUCUGACUACUAGCAUCCAUAAAGUUUACGAAACGAUGAUUUCAAAUUAAAUUCAAUCUCAUCACUUAAAACUCUGGGUUUAAUUCAUUAUAUCGGGGAAAUCAUUAUGAGAAAUACAAGCACCGGAACAUAUCAAGACGCUGCUGGAAUUUUGUUACACAGAAAUGGAAAGUAGCUGGAAUCAUCUCUUUUGUCGUAAAAAAACUUGUUUUCAUCCGAACCCCAUUACAAAUUUCAAGAUGUGUCAAGAUAUGAACAGAAUAACUGCAUUUGUUGUAUCUUCUAUCUCAAGUUCGAUGAGAUUGAUGCUAGCAGCAUAGUUUACCAAACUUUAUAUUAUUUAGUUAGAGAAUGCUGUCAUUCUAAGAAGCUGCUGUGUGAAGUCAGGCUUAUAUGAAUAAAAGAACAAGUCGGCAAGAAGAGGAACAUAUUUGGUUCUUAUUGUUUGUUGAAAAACGCGUGCUCCAAAACGUAACAGAUAUGUUGCCAAUCAAGAAUUCAAUGAACUUGAAAAUAUCAGUUUUAUAGAAUUUAACUAAAAUAUAAAUUACGGGUUCCGUAAGUUGGUGUAGGAAGCUCGCUUACACAAAAAAGUCUUGUCUACCAAAAUGGAAUUGUAUCACGAGAAAAAAUAAAACGUGUAAAACAUUGAAUAUCAUUAAAUAAAAAGAGCCUAAUAUAAACAGGACAGCCGUGUUUUUAUCACAGUUACAUGAUUUAAUUUACGAUAAAUUUAGAGACAAUAAAUUACAUGCAAAAUGUCAACAACGAAGAGCUAUCGUUUGAGCCGGGUUGUAAGUUUAGAAACUGAGAUACUUUAACAAUAAUGGGGUCUGUUUCACGAAGCUAUCCCAAGACCUAAGAUAUCAUGAAUUCAAUUUGUCCCUGUAUCGUUUAUAAUAACGAAUAUCAUUGUUGACCGUCAACCUAUAAAUAUUUUGUUACGAGAAGGAAAAGGAGAACAGAUAAAUAGAUAAUUAAAAACCAAUUGUUCAAAGAACAAUUGAAGGUCUUUCCACAAGUAAAGAUCUAUUUAUUAUCAAAAUAUCAAAAAUCAAUCUAAAAUGUCAGUUCCUAUGACUUUAUAAUGUAUAAAUAUGAAUUUAAAUCAAAGGUCAAAAUCUAGAACGCCCUAUUAACCUUUGACCUUGACCUCAAUUUCAAGGUCACCAACCAAGGACCUCAAACAAAAAGACCCUAGGUCUGUAAUAUGUAUGGUUAAUGAGUUAUAUCACUUUACGCAUUAUUUUAAAUAUAAGAUGGGCGAAAAACUCUCAUUUAUUGUUUGCGCACCCUUCCAACCAAAAUUUAUAAGUUACAACAUGUCGCAACUCACAAUUUAGUAAAAAUAAUUUGUCAAUAUCUUUCACGGUUGUUGAAAAUAAGUGAAAAUAAGCCAAAAUCAAAAUUU
Molecule: long non-coding RNA, 17945 nt
Filed under: Mytilus galloprovincialis (Mediterranean mussel)
Lineage: Eukaryota; Metazoa; Mollusca; Bivalvia; Mytilida; Mytilidae
Source: RNAcentral